Molecule: ribosomal RNA, 117 nt
Organism: Danio rerio (zebrafish)
Lineage: Eukaryota; Metazoa; Chordata; Actinopteri; Cypriniformes; Danionidae
Source: Ensembl
UUAAAUGGCCAUAUCACCCUGCAGCCCAACACCGGUUACUUACUGAAGCUAAGCAUAUCUGAGCCUGGUCCGUAGCUGGAUGGAAGACCACAUGGGAAAACUAGGUUGCUGUUGGAA